This is a long non-coding RNA of Dama dama (fallow deer), 404 nucleotides long. RefSeq lists it as uncharacterized. The record is from RefSeq and is a predicted model, not a curated record. The transcript has 3 exons. Lineage: Eukaryota; Metazoa; Chordata; Mammalia; Artiodactyla; Cervidae.
CAGGAAUCGAAGCUGUGGGCUGUGGGGACAGGUGUGGACAGUAGCAUGGAGGGGAGAAAUUUGUGGAUCCUGACCUGCUGUUGCGGUUCCCAAGAUGUUUCCAGUGGCCCCAGCCCUACGUCUAUAUAGGACCGAAUGGGAACUAUAAUAAAGCAAGUCUGCUGCAUCUCAAGAUAACUAUGUUCAUCUUGAAAAAAGCGUUAGAAAAGCAGGGAGAGAAUUGGGCCCUUUGCUUGCAGCACAAGAAGAGUGCAUACAGAUCUGCUGGCCAUGGGGACUGUCAUCAGUGAAACUGAUCGUGCUCUUUCUCUUCACUGGUAAAGAGUAAAGCAUUGUUCACACAUUGUCCAUGUGAAUUGUGUCUUCUUGCAACACCAGCACCUGCAACCAUGGAGCAGGUUGAC